GGGGCUAUGGCGCAGUUGGUAGCGCGCCCCCACGUUGUGGGGGAGACGGGGGUUCGAUUCCUUCUAGCUCCA
Molecule: transfer RNA, 72 nt
Organism: Actinomyces sp. oral taxon 448
Lineage: Bacteria; Bacillati; Actinomycetota; Actinomycetes; Actinomycetales; Actinomycetaceae
Rfam family: tRNA
About the family: Transfer RNA (tRNA) molecules are approximately 80 nucleotides in length.
Source: Rfam